This 1487-nucleotide ribosomal RNA is filed under the name Candidatus Levybacteria bacterium RIFOXYD1_FULL_40_21. Its description in RNAcentral is "bacterial SSU rRNA". It matches the Rfam family "Bacterial small subunit ribosomal RNA". Lineage: Bacteria; Candidatus Levyibacteriota. The record is from RNAcentral.
UUUUUUUGAGAAUUUGAUCCUGGUUCAGGAUGAACGCUGGCGGCGUGCCUUAGGCAUGCAAGUCGAACGGGAAGGUGCCAUACGGUACCUUCCAGUGGCAGACGGGUGAGUAUCGCGUAGGAAUCUACCUCUAGGCGGACCAUAGCUCAUCGAAAGAUGGGGUAAUAGUCCAUAGUCCAGGUGCCGCAUGGUACCUGGUAAAGCGCUUAACUGCGCACCAAGAGAGGAGCCUGCGUCCUAUCAGCUUGUUGGUGGGGUAAAAGCCUACCAAGGCUCUGACGGGUAGCUGGACUGAGAGGUCGAUCAGCCACAACUGCACUGAAACACGGGCAGUACACCUACGGGUGGCAGCAACUAGGAAUAUUGCGCAAUGGGGGAAACCCUGACGCAGCGACGCCGCGUGGAGGAAGAAGGUCUAUGGAUCGUAAACUCCUUUUGCCAAGCCGUUCACAGCUUGGAGAAUAAGCCUCUACUAACUACGUGCCAGAAGUCUCGGUAAUACGUAGGAGGCAAGCGUUAUCCGGAUUUAUUGGGCGUAAAGUGUGCGUAGGCGGUCCGACGAGUCUCUUCUUAAAUAUCAGAGCUUAACUCUGGAAGUGGGAGAGAUACUGUCGGACUUGAGGGUUGAUAGGGAUACUGGAACAGUUAGUGUAGCAGUGAAAUGCGUUGAUAUUAACUGGAACACCAAAGGCGAAGGCAAGUAUCUAGAUUCUCCCUGACGCUGAGGCACGAAAGCUAGGGUAGCGAAACAGAUUAGAGACCUGUGUAGUCCUAGCCGUAAACGAUGUCCGCUAGCUUUGUGCAUUUAUGUACGAGGCGUAAGCUAACGCGUUAAGCGGACCGCCUGGGGAGUACGGCCGCAAGGCUAAAACUCAAAGGAAUUGACGGGGACCCGCACAACCGGUGGAGCGUGUGGUUCAAUUCGAGACAAAACGAAGAACCUCACCAGGGUUUGACAUAAUACCGUACAUUUUCCUGGAAACAGGAAGAAAUCCGCAAGGAUGGUACUACAGGUGCUGCAUGGCUGUCGUCAGCUCGUGCCGUGAGGUGUUCCCUUAAGUGGGGAAACGAGCGCAACCCGCGCCAAAUGUUAAAUAUUCAUUUGGGACUGCCCCAGUUUUACUGGGAAGGAAGGAGCGGAAGACGUCAAGUCAGCAUGGUCCUUAUACCCUGGGCUACACACACACUACAAUGGCGAAAAACAACGUGUUGCAAGCCGGCAACGGCAAGCUAAUCACUCAAAUUUCGCCUCAGUUCAGAUUGGGGGCUGAAACUCGCCCUCAUGAAGUCGGAAUCGGUAGUAAUCGCGGAUCAGCAAGCCGCGGUGAAUACGUUCUCGGGUCUUGUACACACCGCCCGUCAAGGCAGCAAAGUCGGGAGUAGACGAACUACGAUUUUUUUCGUGGGAGUCUAAAUUCGGCGAUGAAGCUUAAGUCGUAACAAGGUAUCCCUAGCCGAAGCUGGGGAUGGAUCACCUCCUUUCUAAG